Molecule: ribosomal RNA, 636 nt
Filed under: Rotylenchulus reniformis
Lineage: Eukaryota; Metazoa; Nematoda; Chromadorea; Rhabditida; Hoplolaimidae
Description: SSU rRNA
Rfam family: Eukaryotic small subunit ribosomal RNA
Source: RNAcentral
GGCGAUCAGAUACCGCCCUAGUUCUGACCGUAAACGAUGCCAACUAGCGAUCCGCCAGUCGACUCAUCGCUCUGGUGGGGAGCUUCCCGGAAACGAAAGUCUUCCGGUUCCGGGGGAAGUAUGGUUGCAAAGCUGAAACUUAAAGGAAUUGACGGAAGGGCACCACCAGGAGUGGAGCCUGCGGCUUAAUUUGACUCAACACGGGGAAACUCACCCGGCCCGGACACCGUAAGGAUUGACAGAUUGAUAGCUUUUUCAUGAUUCGGUGGAUGGUGGUGCAUGGCCGUUCUUAGUUCGUGGAGCGAUUUGUCUGGUUUAUUCCGAUAACGAGCGAGACUCUGGCCUACUAAAUAGUUGACGCAUUGCCACUGUGCGCACAACUUCUUAGAGGGAUUUUCGGUGUUUUCAACCGCACGAAAUUGAGCAAUAACAGGUCUGUGAUGCCCUUAGAUGUCCGGGGCUGCACGCGCGCUACACUGGCAAACGCAACGUGCCUGUCCUGCCCCGAAAGGAGCGGGUAAACCGAUGAAAAUUUGCCGUGAUUGGGAUCGGACAUUGCAAUUAUUGUCCGUGAACGAGGAAUCCCUUGUAAGGGCGAGUCAUCAACUCGUCCUGAAUACGUCCCUGCCCUUUGUA